GCCUCGGUAGCUCAGGGGAUAGAGCAGCCGCCUCCUAAGCGGCAGGUCGCAGGUUCGAAUUGUGCGCCAAGGCG
This 74-nucleotide transfer RNA is filed under the name Wenzhouxiangella sp. RNAcentral's name for it is "tRNA-Arg". It matches the Rfam family "tRNA". From Rfam's summary of the family: Transfer RNA (tRNA) molecules are approximately 80 nucleotides in length. Their secondary structure includes four short double-helical elements and three loops (D, anti-codon, and T loops). Lineage: Bacteria; Pseudomonadati; Pseudomonadota; Gammaproteobacteria; Chromatiales; Wenzhouxiangellaceae. The record is from RNAcentral.